GGGUGAGAUGCCAUUUUGAGUCAUUUUGGUGCCAACCAUGAGCAGAUUUGGGGUUAAAGCACCAUUUUGAGCCAUUUUGGUGCCAACCAUGAGGAGAUACUCAUGUUCGAUGCCAUUUUGAGCCCUUUCGGUGCCAACCAUGAGCAGAUUUGGGGGGAAAACCCCAUUUUUGAUCUCUUUUGUUGCCAACCACGAGCAGAUAUUUGGGUUGGGUGCCAUUUUGAGCCCCUUCGGUGCCAACCAUGAGCAAAUAUUUGGGGAAAAACACCACUUCGACCCAUUUUGGUGCCAAUCAGGGGCGGAUUUUGGGGGGAAAUCACCAUUUUGAGCCCUUUUGGUGCCAACCAUGAGCAGAUUUGGGGGGAAAACCCCAUUUUUGAUCUCUUUUGUUGCCAACCACGAGUUGAUAUUUGGGUUUGAUGCCAUUUUGAGCCAUUUUGGUGCCAACCAUGAGUAGAUAUUUGGGUAGAAGACCAUUUUGAGCCAUUUUGAUGCCAACCACGAGUAGAUAUUUGGGUAGAAGACCAUUUUGAGCCAUUUUGGAGUCAACCACGAGUAGAUAUUGGGGUAGAAGACCAUUUUGAGCCAUUUUGGUGCCAACCGUGAGCAGAUUUGGGGGGAAAACACCAUUUUGAGCCAUUUUGGUACCAACCUUGAGUAGAUAUUUGGGUAGUCAACCAUUUUGAGCCAUUUUGAUGCCAACCAUGACCAAAUCUGGGUGGAAAACCCCAUUUUUGAUCUCUUU
RNAcentral lists this long non-coding RNA (745 nucleotides) under Gallus gallus (chicken). Lineage: Eukaryota; Metazoa; Chordata; Aves; Galliformes; Phasianidae. The record is from RNAcentral.